Molecule: ribosomal RNA, 253 nt
Filed under: uncultured bacterium
Lineage: Bacteria
Description: partial 16S ribosomal RNA
Rfam family: Bacterial small subunit ribosomal RNA
Source: RNAcentral
GACGAACCGAGCGAACGUUGUUCGGAAUCACUGGGCUUAAAGGGCGCGUAGGCGGGUCAUCAAGUCCGGGGUGAAAUCUUUCGGCUCAACCGGAAAAGUGCCUUGGAUACUGGUGAUCUCGAGGGAGGUAGGGGCAGCUGGAACUUCCGGUGGAGCGGUGAAAUGCGUUGAUAUCGGAAGGAACUCCGGUGGCGAAGGCGAGCUGCUGGACCUCUUCUGACGCUGAGGCGCGAAAGCCAGGGGAGCAAACGGG